This 242-nucleotide long non-coding RNA is filed under the name Brassica napus (rape). RNAcentral describes it as "long non-coding RNA (BNAP_LNC000449)". The record is from RNAcentral. Lineage: Eukaryota; Viridiplantae; Streptophyta; Magnoliopsida; Brassicales; Brassicaceae.
CCGUCGAUCAACAUUCAUUCAUCUCCUCGAUAGCUCUGUCUGACAGACGUACCACUCUUCAGUAAAACAAGCGUAACUUCUGAUCUAACCGUUGUAUUGACCUCUACCGGUGGCAGUGGAAAGCUAACUCAAAGCUAUAUCUUGUGUCAAAGAUCAGCUCUAUCGCACCAUGUGAAAGUCUCCAUCCAUAUCUAAACAUCUGACGCAUCUGUGCAGUUAUGUACCUCAAAAGGCUCCAAAAA